Molecule: unclassified non-coding RNA, 2316 nt
Organism: Polistes dominula (European paper wasp)
Lineage: Eukaryota; Metazoa; Arthropoda; Insecta; Hymenoptera; Vespidae
Source: RefSeq, a predicted model, not a curated record
AAUUGUUACCCUCUCUACUAAUUUUAGGAAGUAGAAUCUUAGGUGACUCAUAUCCGGCAACUGCCUGGGUCGUUCUUUCUGUCCCUGGUAGCAGCGCGGAAAUCUUCGCUGCUUUCAAGUAAAGAAAAAAAAAACAAAGUUUUAACAACUGCACACACCUCAUACAUUCUCUUCUGGGACUAAAGCAGUUACAACUGUUCAACAUGAUACGAACCAGGAGUACUAUUCUUGGAUUAAUAAGAAUUGGGACUUACGGAUCUAUGUCUGGUGGUUAUCGUAGCAAUGGCGCCAGCCAUCGUGGAGGAGUAAGCCAAAGAAAUGGGUAUGGUAGUGGCAAUACAAACAAUAGAUUUGGAAGUCGUAACGGAGGUACUGGUGGAAAUAAUGGAGGUCUUGCUAGUCGCGGUCAACGUAAUGCUAAUGUAGCUGGAACUAAUUUGAGAAAACCUAAUUGGGAUUAUGAAAAUUUGAAACCAUUUAAAAAAGAUUUCUAUGUACCGCAUCCAAAUGUACAAUCGCGUCAUCCUCAAGAAGUCGAUUCGUUUAGAGAAGAAAACAAAAUUACUCUUAAAGGAGAGAAAAUACCUAAUCCAAUUCAAUUUUUUGAAGAAGGAAACUUUCCAGAAUACGUUAUGCAAGCUAUUAGAAAGCAAGGUUUUACAGAACCAACAGCCAUUCAAGCUCAAGGCUGGCCAAUUGCUAUGUCUGGACUUAAUAUGGUUGGAAUUGCUCAAACUGGAUCUGGAAAAACUUUAGGAUACAUUUUACCUGCUAUUGUACACAUUAAUAGUCAGCAACCUUUGAAUAGAGGAGACGGUCCUAUUGCUCUCGUCUUAGCUCCAACUCGAGAACUUGCUCAACAAAUACAAAGCGUUGCUAAUGAUUUUGGAUCAUUGUCUUAUGUAAGGAAUACUUGCAUAUUUGGCGGUGCACCAAAAGGCAGCCAAGCACGUGAUCUCGAACGUGGAGUUGAGAUUUGUAUAGCAACACCAGGACGUCUUAUCGAUUUCUUAGAACGUGGCACGACUAAUUUACGUAGGUGUACAUAUCUGGUAUUAGACGAAGCCGAUCGUAUGUUAGAUAUGGGUUUCGAACCACAAAUUAGAAAGAUCAUAGAACAAAUCAGACCAGACAGACAAGUUCUCAUGUGGUCAGCUACUUGGCCGAAAGAAGUAAGGAAUUUAGCUGAGGAAUAUUUAACGGAUUAUACUCAAUUAAAUAUUGGAUCUUUGACUUUGGCGGCUAAUCAUAACAUCUUACAAAUAGUCGAUGUUUGUCAAGAACAUGAAAAAGAAUCAAAAUUGGGAACUCUGUUGCAAGAAAUUGGCAGUGUUAAUGAUGACGGUGGAAAGACUAUCAUCUUUGUAGAAACUAAAAAGAAAGUUGAAAAUAUCACUAGGAAUAUUAGGAGGUACGGUUGGCCUGCAGUGUGCAUGCAUGGUGAUAAGUCGCAACAAGAAAGAGAUUAUGUUUUAAGAGAAUUCAGGAACAAGAAAGGUUCUAUUCUUGUAGCAACGGAUGUUGCUGCACGUGGAUUGGGAAAUAUAGAAAAGGAGAAGAUGGCGAUGUAGCACAGACUGGUUAUAUGAAGUGAUGCCUCACUGUUCAAUGGAUAACGUGAAAUAAUGAUCAUUAUUGAAUAACAAUUAUUAUAUAUUUAUAGGUUAUAUAUUUCAUAGUACUUUCAUUCAAAGACAAUGUAAUCAUAUAUAUUUUGCAUAAAUCUGAGAAUGCUGCUUAUCAACAGUAGGAUCAUAUUUUCAACAACAAAAUAACCAGUAACGUAUAGAGGCACAUGGUGCACUAAAUACGUGAGUGUGCGAUGAAAAACCAUAAAGAGAAAAAAAAUAAUAACAUGGCUCACUCAUAGUACGUGCGCAAUUUGCAUAAAAAAAAAAAAAAAAAAUACUUGUACUUAAUGUGCCUCUGUGUACAGCCUGUGUACCACGGAAGUAUUUAGUGGUGCGCGGGCGUUAUCGUGCUGGUUGGUUGUGAGAUAAAACGCUGGUUUCCAUUUUGGUACAACCAUCACACUUCAUAGCCAAUGCCCAGCCGGUGUCAGAGACAACAAUCUAUUGAUUUUGCUACUAUCGCUACUGUGAUGCUCACGACACAACAGUCCGUGAUCUGAACUUGCAUUCAAGACUACACACCCCCUGGUGGCACUUUGUUUGCAGUCAUACGGAAUGCAAUGUUCAGCAGUAACGGGUUUGUAUUUAUUAUAAUGCAGCAGACUUAAGGAUUAUAAAAUACGCAUUAAAUGCGUAAUUUAUAAGCUAAGCUCAUAAUUUGUAUCCUUUCAUAAUUUAUAAAACA